Molecule: long non-coding RNA, 1009 nt
Filed under: Heterocephalus glaber (naked mole-rat)
Lineage: Eukaryota; Metazoa; Chordata; Mammalia; Rodentia; Bathyergidae
Description: lncRNA (ENSHGLG00000035602.1)
Source: RNAcentral
UUUCAGUAUUAAGCUGUCCUGGGCUUUCACAUGAGGCAGGAGAAAUGAGGAUGGGGCAGCAUUUGCUCGGUGCCAGAGGACAGACAGACGGACAUCCAGAACCACCUGUUUCCUCCCAGGCUGAGGCAGGAGCUGUCUUCAAGGAGGGACCUGGGGCAGGGGUCCAGACCUUGCUGUCCUUAGUUCUGAAGGUCUUGCCAACAAGCCCUCCCUGUGGAAAAGGAAGAAGACCUCGGCCAUGAUCAGCAUCCACAAGUCACUCUGCUAUCAGAUUGGGGUUCCCUGAAGGGCACUCCUGGGCGGCGACGACACCUCCGGCACUGUGCCGGGCCUGGGGGACACAAAGUGCUGCGUCGUGCUGCAAGGAGCAGUCACAGCGCCUGAGGAAUGGCAUCAGCAUUGCAAGGAUGAAGAACUAGCUGUGCCGCGUGACGGAGGUUUAACCUCAGGACAUGGUGCCUGGAUGAGAGGUCCUGCUCCCUAUGUAGACAGUGCUGAGUGAGACUGUCCACACUCACCACCAUGGAGGUGGGAAGUGGAUUACAAACCCCUGUGCACAGGGUGCACACGGGCCACAGCUCCUUCCCCACUGCACACAGAUGUCCAGAACAUUACCUGGUAGCCUCUUUCAUAUUACAAACUUCUGGAGGAAGAGAUGAAAAAUUUCAAAUUUGCUCUGCAGAACAAAAAUUGUCCCUUUAAAGAUGAAUGUGCAGCUGUGCCCAGUGCUGAUGGAGUCAUAGCACAGACCAGGGAUUAGUAAACGGUGUGUGCCCCAUUAAGACUAAACAAGCCCCUGCUCAUUAGGGCCCUAAUUGCAGUGGUUAUAUCAAAGCCCCACAGACCUCACCAGUGUCUAGUUCAGCUCUGUGUGUUACAUAGGUGCCUGGCGUCAUCUUCCCACCUGCUGAAAUGAAAGAUUCUUGGAAUAUCCAUGUGUGUAAAACAUGUUUGUGAUGCAAAUAUGAAGGUACCCUUUCAUCCCGUCCCCACUUUGAUGUCAUGGUAG